GCGUCUCUAGCUUAAUGGUAAAGCUCCGCUCUGUGGCAGCGGCAAUACGGGUCCGAUUCCCGUGAGACGCC
Molecule: transfer RNA, 71 nt
Filed under: Patescibacteria group bacterium
Lineage: Bacteria
Also listed under: 1 other name
Description: tRNA-His
Rfam family: tRNA
About the family: Transfer RNA (tRNA) molecules are approximately 80 nucleotides in length.
Source: RNAcentral